UCGUAGCUCAAUGGAUAGAGCGGUGGACUCCUAAGCCAAGGGUUGGAGGUUCGAGUCCUCUCGGGU
This 66-nucleotide transfer RNA is filed under the name bovine gut metagenome. It matches the Rfam family "tRNA", at positions 6 to 65 of the family's 71-position model. From Rfam's summary of the family: Transfer RNA (tRNA) molecules are approximately 80 nucleotides in length. The record is from RNAcentral.